Molecule: long non-coding RNA, 3487 nt
Organism: Antechinus flavipes (yellow-footed antechinus)
Lineage: Eukaryota; Metazoa; Chordata; Mammalia; Dasyuromorphia; Dasyuridae
Exons: 3
Source: RefSeq, a predicted model, not a curated record
UCUCAAAAACAGUGACUGAGAUCAUACCUGAACUCUGGUCUUCCCAAUUCCAAGCUUAGUACUUUUAUCAAUUUCAGCCUUUGAUUGGCCCAAUAUUAGAAAGAACUUUUAUCUAUAGGGAUUAAGAGAUGCUAAAACUAACUCUAAAGGAAUUUCAUAAUCAGAUAACUAUCUUUCUAUUAAAAAUUUCAGUCACUGUAGAGCAGAGGUGCCAACUUACUACUGAGUGAAAAUAUAAUUGAGAAUAUUUAACAAAAUAAGUAAAAACAACAAAAAAAGAAAAAUACAACAUAGGUUAUAUUAUUUUUUUGUUUGUAACAAAAAAGAUCCACUUUUAUUUGAGUUUGAAACCAUUGGUUUAAAAGACUGAGCUAUCUAUAAAUCCACUCCGGCCUUCCCAUGUUUUAUUUCUCUGAAAUGUAUCAGUAUUAUCUAAUUCCUUUUUUUUUUUCUACUUUCAUUAUUAUCCAAAACUAAUCCUAAAAACAUGCCUGAUUUUCACCUUUCAAGUAUCAAACUAAUUUAUAUCCAAGGGUCUUGCCCAAUAUGUCUAUAACUACCCACAGGUCACGGGUGGGUUGACCAUAAAGCCCUCUGGAAUUUGUAGCUCUUCCCAAUUUGGAAAGAAAGGAAACCAACUGAGAUCAGCCCCUGAAAUGGGAGUUUGGAGUUUUGACAGAAGGCAAAUGCCUAUCCAACUGUGGAGGACAGGCAUGUAGAGAGAGGGAAAAAGAAGAGCAGCUGAUUACAGCCGACUGUGAAAGCCAAAAACCAGGACACCUGAGGCUUCUUUUUUCAAAACUCGGAAAGGUAAUGUCUGCAUAAACCAGUAAAGAGGAAAAAGUAUGGCUCUUGAAUUUUUGAUAACUAUAAUCCUCCGAGACUCUUCAGCAAAAGGAAAAAAUGUAUUUUUUUCAUCCAUCCCCUAAGGCCGAAACUGGGUGGGAAAGGAGCAGUUCAAAGGCAAGAGCAGUGCCAUCCAACUGCCAAGUCUUUUUUCCUCCAUCUUUUCACACCCAACUCCAUCAUCACCAUCCCCUGCCAAUACCAUGCCUCAAGGAUACAUCCUGAUCUGUACCUGGCUACUGGACCCAGAUGCUCUGGAGAGAAGUUGAGGCAGGUGACCUUGCCCAGCCCUGCCUCCCUGAAAUCUGAUUCAUUUGCACAUUAUGGCAUUACCUUCCUUGUGUCGUGGUCCUCUUCAAAAAUGAAGAAUAAAUGAUAACAAGAACAAUAUUUAAAAGAACCUAGAAAAUUUCUGGGUGAUUUUUUCUGCCCAGCAAGCCAUCUACUGUCUCCUCUCUCUGACCAUACCUCUGAGGGCAUGCAAAAAAAUCACACAAAUUAAUUUCUAGAAAUUCCUCUCUCCUUCAGAAUUCUCCCACCCCAGUUCAGCACCUCCGGUGAUCGGACACCAUGAAAACAGCCUGAUUGCCUAGAAUAUAGUCUGGUCCUUCUGUUAACAUUGCUCCAUGCUUCAUUCCUUUCAAAUUCAUGCUAUUUCUACUCAUCUCAAAAAAACAAAAACAAAAACAAGCAAAGAUUCUAUAUCAUCUAUUUUCUCUGUAACCCCUAUACCACAUGGUAUCCACAACACUACUGGAGGCUCAUUUUUAAAGAUUUCCAAUGACUUCCAUCUUAUAAAAUGCAGGAGUUGUUUCCCAUUCCCCAUCCUCUUUGAUUUAAUCUUUAAUAUGUAAUAUGGUUGGGGGUGGACUUGGAGUCAAGAAGUCCAAGGUUCAAGUUCUUCUAACACUAGCUUUGGGGCAAAUCACUUAAUCUCUUCUGAUUCUCAGUUUCAUCAUUUAUAAAAUAGGGAUGAUAAUACUUGUUUAGUAACAAGAAUAUAUAUUACAAAAAAUUUACAAACAUUAAGGUUUUAAUUUCCAUGGUUUUCCUCCCACCCAUCUUCUAAUUCCUGUUUCCUUCUCUACACACCUUAAUUAAUUAAUGGCUUAUUUAUUAUUAAUUAAUUAAUUUUAAAAUUGUGGGUAUUCCAAGGACUCUCUUCUCACUCUUUAUCUUGAACUUUAUUAAUUGAACUAACUUUAUUAAUUAUCUCUAUACUAAUUACUUCCAAAUUUACAUAUCUAUUUUUUACCUUUAACCUGAGCUCCAGUUUCACAUUUGCAAAUGCUUAUUGGAUAUUUUCCUUUAGUAUCACUUCAAGUUCAAAAUGGCUAAAAGAGAAUUCAUAAUCUUCAUUCCUUAAAAGAGAAUUCACUUUUAAUGUUUUUAUUCCCGUUAAUUUUAACACCAUUCUUCUAGUAAUUCUGGAAUAAAAUUACUGAUUACAGCUUUUUAGAGUAUUUCCACUUUUCAUAUACUCUAUUCAGCUAGUUACCAAGUAUGUUUAAUCCUUCAUUCAAAUGUUUCUUAUUUAAACCCUUUCCUCUAUUACUGAUCAUUCUCUAUAAUCACUUCUCACCUUGCUCCACAGAACAAUUGCUUCCUAACAUGUCUCCCUACCUACAAACCAUUCUGUCACCAUAUUUUCCUUCAAUGGGUCCAAUGCAUUUGGUUAUUCUCUUCAAUAAUGCAAACUGCAACCAUCCAGACCUCAUCAUUCUUUGUAUCUGCUACUCAUUUACUUCUAUAAAUACUUCAUGAAAGUUCUUUAUCUAAUGUUUUUAAAUUAUUCUGGUGUCAGUGCAGUACUUGGGCUGUCCAUCUCUUGCCUCUCAUUCUUGCUGAAGUAUUUUUACUCUAGAUUGUGGUUAUCACAGAAUACAUAAUUAUAUAAUCAAUUUUACAGAAGAGUUAAUCAAAAAAAUAUAAGGUCAAUUUCAGUCUGUGCAAUGUGAGAUGAAGUAUUCCAAAUUGCUCAAAGAAUAAUAAUAUCAUAGAAGAAAAUAAAAGAAGUAUCUAAUCUUUUUUUUCUCCUACCUAGAACAGAUUCAACCCAGUUACAGAAGGCAAAAUGUAAGUGACUUUUAGACAUACAGUUGUGACCCCCUUGGGGACCAUGUCCUGACUCUGAGGGAUAUUAUGAGUCAAAAGGAAAAUGGAAAUAUGAGUAACAUCACACUAUCCCAUGAAAGCAAAUCAUAAGACUUGUCUCCAACACAGAUACAAAUACAGUUAUCUAAUAUUCUUCCACUCCCAUUUGUUUAAUGUCAUAAUCACCAUCCACUACAGCUCACUAGAAUAGGUGCACCAUCAAACAAUCACAAAUUAGACAAAUGCUCCUCCUCUCUCUAAAUACAUCAACCUUCUGAAUCCCAGAUCACCUCAUGUCUCUACCAGACAUCCCUUGAAGGACUAGCUCUGUGCUCUGGAAGAGUGAUCAGUAAAUAUGUUCUGUGAUCUUAUAGAAAUAGCCUCUUAAUUAGGCUCCCUGCUUUCCAAUGUCAUCUCUCUUUCUAAUCUAUCGUCCUUACAAGCUGCCCGUGUUAUUCCUUAAAACUUAGAUCUGGUCAUGUCAUUCUCUUAUAUUCAAUAAAUAGUUCUCCCUAUUGAAUCUAGUAUAAAAUAUUUCAUUUUUAUC